GUUUGUAUUUUAUAAGUCUGUGCAAAGUUUUGUUCUCCCUCUUUGUGAUUAACUUCAGAAAUCUCAUUUGGUAUACGUUUCCUUUUUGUUAUCAUUUCUGCUAAUCACAUAUGCUUGUGAUUGUUGAUUCUCUUUAUAUGAAUUACUUCGCUUCAAUAAAGGUAUGUUAAUAUUUUCCUGGUGAAACCUGAAGCUUUACUGCUGCACUUGUUGAUGGUGGUAACACGGUGUUAGUAUUGUUGUCUGGAUCUAACAAAAGUCCAAAUUUGGUCUCUAAUGGAAGUGGCAUAAGUGAAUCUUCUUCAGUCUCGGUAACUGGUUUCAGUUUUCUCAGUCUUUCCUUUGCUUUCUCAGCUGCUUGUAGAGCCUUUUCACUGCUUAAAGUUAUCAGUUUCCAUGGGUUUAUGCUUACAUGAAAACCUGGUUUCUUGUUGAUCAGCGUGGAAGUCUGCAUAUGUUCUAUGGCUGCUGGAUAUGAAUUUAGUAUUAUGCAUAGGAGUUUGGAUGUUAUAUAGUGGAGGUUCUGAUUCGUUCUGCUUGCCUACACUCCCCUGUAUCUGUACAUCAUAAGUUUGUGAGAUGAGAGUUCAGAUGACACUCCUGGGGAGAAUAAAGCAGCAAUGGAUUUCAUAAAGUGGCUAUUUGACAACACAAUCGUUAAGGCCACAAAAGUGUUUGUGAAGAUUACAAAGGUUAGGAGCGAGCUUUUCAAUAGUUACAAUGACGAUGGUGUUAACAAGAAGGGGAAAGAUGCCAAAUUCAACAAUUGACUCGAGGAAAAGCUGAUGACCUCGGUCCUCCUCUCCAUUGUGGUCGUACUGGUCUUCUGAUU
This is a non-coding RNA of Camelina sativa (false flax), 832 nucleotides long. The record is from RefSeq and is a predicted model, not a curated record. NCBI's taxonomy places the organism in Eukaryota, Viridiplantae, Streptophyta, Magnoliopsida, Brassicales, Brassicaceae.